This 1352-nucleotide ribosomal RNA is filed under the name uncultured bacterium. RNAcentral's name for it is "bacterial SSU rRNA". It matches the Rfam family "Bacterial small subunit ribosomal RNA", at positions 28 to 1381 of the family's 1533-position model. The record is from RNAcentral.
ACUGAACGCUGGCGGCAUGCCUUACACAUGCAAGUCGAACGGCAGCACGGAGCUUGCUCUGGUGGCGAGUGGCGAACGGGUGAGUAAUAUAUCGGAACGUACCCUAGAGUGGGGGAUAACGUAGCGAAAGUUACGCUAAUACCGCAUACGAUCUAAGGAUGAAAGUGGGGGAUCGCAAGACCUCAUGCUCGUGGAGCGGCCGAUAUCUGAUUAGCUAGUUGGUAGGGUAAAAGCCUACCAAGGCAUCGAUCAGUAGCUGGUCUGAGAGGACGACCAGCCACACUGGAACUGAGACACGGUCCAGACUCCUACGGGAGGCAGCAGUGGGGAAUUUUGGACAAUGGGCGAAAGCCUGAUCCAGCAAUGCCGCGUGAGUGAAGAAGGCCUUCGGGUUGUAAAGCUCUUUUGUCAGGGAAGAAACGGUGAGAGCUAAUAUCUCUUGCUAAUGACGGUACCUGAAGAAUAAGCACCGGCUAACUACGUGCCAGCAGCCGCGGUAAUACGUAGGGUGCAAGCGUUAAUCGGAAUUACUGGGCGUAAAGCGUGCGCAGGCGGUUUUGUAAGUCUGAUGUGAAAUCCCCGGGCUCAACCUGGGAAUUGCAUUGGAGACUGCAAGGCUAGAAUCUGGCAGAGGGGGGUAGAAUUCCACGUGUAGCAGUGAAAUGCGUAGAUAUGUGGAGGAACACCGAUGGCGAAGGCAGCCCCCUGGGUCAAGAUUGACGCUCAUGCACGAAAGCGUGGGGAGCAAACAGGAUUAGAUACCCUGGUAGUCCACGCCCUAAACGAUGUCUACUAGUUGUCGGGUCUUAAUUGACUUGGUAACGCAGCUAACGCGUGAAGUAGACCGCCUGGGGAGUACGGUCGCAAGAUUAAAACUCAAAGGAAUUGACGGGGACCCGCACAAGCGGUGGAUGAUGUGGAUUAAUUCGAUGCAACGCGAAAAACCUUACCUACCCUUGACAUGGCUGGAAUCCUUGAGAGAUCAGGGAGUGCUCGAAAGAGAACCAGUACACAGGUGCUGCAUGGCUGUCGUCAGCUCGUGUCGUGAGAUGUUGGGUUAAGUCCCGCAACGAGCGCAGCCCUUGUCAUUAGUUGCUACGAAAGGGCACUCUAAUGAGACUGCCGGUGACAAACCGGAGGAAGGUGGGGAUGACGUCAAGUCCUCAUGGCCCUUAUGGGUAGGGCUUCACACGUCAUACAAUGGUACAUACAGAGCGCCGCCAACCCGCGAGGGGGAGCUAAUCGCAGAAAGUGUAUCGUAGUCCGGAUUGUAGUCUGCAACUCGACUGCAUGAAGUUGGAAUCGCUAGUAAUCGCGGAUCAGCAUGUCGCGGUGAAUACGUUCCCGGGUCU